This 303-nucleotide transfer RNA is filed under the name Variovorax ginsengisoli. RNAcentral's name for it is "tRNA-Arg". The record is from RNAcentral. Lineage: Bacteria; Pseudomonadati; Pseudomonadota; Betaproteobacteria; Burkholderiales; Comamonadaceae.
GCCUCCGUAGCUCAGUGGAUAGAGCGAUCCCCUCCUAGAUUUUUUGGGCACCAGGCUGCGAAAGCGCCUGCGUGAAUUGAGUCAAAUUCGGUGAACCCUCUGGGCAUUCAGCCCGUGGCAACGCCGAGCCAAGCCCACCCUGGGUGGGAAGGUGUAGAGACUAGACGGCUCAGGCCUGCAUGACCGCUUCGCGGCGGUUCAUGGCCAAGGCAUAGUCCAGCCCACGAACACGUUCACGUGGCGGCGAAAGCCGAAGUGGGAUGAAGGGAUAGGUCGCAGGUCCGAUUCCUGCCGGGGGCACCA